This is a non-coding RNA of Paramuricea clavata, 999 nucleotides long. NCBI's taxonomy places the organism in Eukaryota, Metazoa, Cnidaria, Anthozoa, Malacalcyonacea, Plexauridae. The record is from the annotation of a GenBank genome assembly.
CGAUUUCUAGCAUUUCUAAACAUUUUCAUAUAAGCGCCUUCGACAAUUCUGAUGUCAGACCUCCAAGGCGGUGAUAAUCUGCUCCUUUUCCAAAGACAUUAAAAUCUUCCGUUCAGUGGUCAUAAGUAGCAAUGCUUCAAGUUUUUCUUGAGACAUAGACAAACAUGUGCGGGUUUGAUUGGAAUUGCAACUGCAAUCGCGUAAACUUUACAAAGAGUUGGAAAUGUGUUACUCGAUACUACACACGAUGUUUUAUGACUUUUAUCGUUUUAUUAUGUAUAGAAUCGCUUCAAAUAUGUUUAUAAUACUAAGAUAUAAUCUAGAAUAACACUAGUUCAAAACGCAACGUUUCUCGAACGUAUUCUGAGCACGCGAGGUGCGCCGCUGGUCGCUCGUACCAGUCUCUAAACUGUUCGCAUAUAUUAUCGUUCAUUACGGUAUCACUCUCCCCUCCUCAUUGAAUGCCAUCCAUGACAUAUACGGAUCUUUCUUCUUAUCUUAUCAUUUACAGGUAUUUCUCUAGAAUUGUUGAUGUCUUCUACCUAAGACACCUGGGCUGGUUGAUCAGACACAACCCAUUAACUCUAUCAAACCUAUCUAAUACUCAUGCGCGCAUACUCAUUCUACAUAUAGAUCCGUUUUUCCGUAACCUCAGUUACGAUACACGUUCCUCCAUAACUAUGGAUUCUUAACGACAAAAGUACAAUGUUUUUCUAAUAAUAUGAUUUAAAAUGUUCCAAAUAUCUAAAACGCAAACAUUGGCUGGUUGUGGUACAUUUGAGGGUAACCAAACAAUGGUGGAGUUGGUGGAUAAUCAAAUGGUGGUGGAGUUGGUAGGUAACCAAACGGUGGUGGGGUCGGUGGGUAAUCAAAUGGUGGUUGAGUUGGUGGGUAACCGUAAAAUAGGUGCGGUUGUGGUGGUAUGAAGCCGCAGGUCUGCAUCAUUCCAACGGUGGGGUUUUGACAUUGAACACACCAGUCGCUGGAUUUCCGGGUGUG